UUAGUAACGCGUGGGAACAUACCCUUUUCUACGGAAUAGCCUCGGGAAACUGAGAGUAAUACCGUAUAAGCCCUUCGGGGGAAAGAUUUAUCGGGAAAGGAUUGGCCCGCGUUAGAUUAGAUAGUUGGUGGGGUAAUGGCCUACCAAGUCUACGAUCUAUAGCUGGUUUUAGAGGAUGAUCAGCAACACUGGGAUUGAGACACGGCCCAGACUCCUACGGGAGGCAGCAGUGGGGAAUCUUAGACAAUGGGCGCAAGCCUGAUCUAGCCAUGCCGCGUGUGUGAUGAAGGUCUUAGGAUCGUAAAGCACUUUCGCCAGGGAUGAUAAUGACAGUACCUGGUAAAGAAACCCCGGCUAACUCCGUGCCAGCAGCCGCGGUAAUACGGAGGGGGUUAGCGUUGUUCGGAAUUACUGGGCGUAAAGCGUACGUAGGCGGAUCAGAAAGUUAGGGGUGAAAUCCCGAGGCUCAACCUCGGAACUGCCUCUAAAACUCCUGGUCUUGAGUUCGAGAGAGGUGAGUGGAAUUCCAAGUGUAGAGGUGAAAUUCGUAGAUAUUUGGAGGAACACCAGUGGCGAAGGCGGCUCACUGGCUCGAUACUGACGCUGAGGUACGAAAGUGUGGGGAGCAAACAGGAUUAGAUACCCUGGUAGUCCACACCGUAA
This 663-nucleotide ribosomal RNA is filed under the name uncultured Sulfitobacter sp. Its description in RNAcentral is "bacterial SSU rRNA". It matches the Rfam family "Bacterial small subunit ribosomal RNA", at positions 107 to 805 of the family's 1533-position model. Lineage: Bacteria; Pseudomonadati; Pseudomonadota; Alphaproteobacteria; Rhodobacterales; Roseobacteraceae. The record is from RNAcentral.